RNAcentral lists this small RNA (301 nucleotides) under Arabidopsis thaliana (thale cress). Its description in RNAcentral is "ATSL044450". The record is from RNAcentral. Lineage: Eukaryota; Viridiplantae; Streptophyta; Magnoliopsida; Brassicales; Brassicaceae.
UAGCAUUUUUGAAUUUAUAGAGAAAAUCUGAAUCCACUAGCUCGAUUAAGGAUUGAUAAGUAAGUCCGGAAUCAACUCUUCUCAAACAAAGCAAGCAGAGAUAGAAGAUACGUAAGAGUCUUUAACUCUGGUAUGCGAAAGAAUCUGAUUUUUAACAAAAAAAUUAAAGUUAUGUAUAAAAAAUUUAUUAAACACACGAUAAAAUCGAUGUAACAACGAUAUUUUUCUUUUGAAUUUAAUUUAACAUUACAUUUGACAAAAAAAAAUGAUAAGUGAAUACAAAAAAUAACAUUACCAACAU